Molecule: non-coding RNA, 1163 nt
Organism: Manis javanica (Malayan pangolin)
Lineage: Eukaryota; Metazoa; Chordata; Mammalia; Pholidota; Manidae
Source: RefSeq, a predicted model, not a curated record
CUCUGAGUCUCUUCCGGCAGAGGUCUUUUUGACGGGGUGUUUGGGAGUGCGGCGCCGGAGUGUGGCUCCUGGAGCCCCCGCUCGGGCCUGCUGCUGCGGCCUGUGUUCCUGCGCGCGAUGGUGUUAGGAGCGGAGGAAUGCAAGGAAACACGGAGAGGGAAGGCUUCCUCUGCGCGCUGCGCAGUUGUGGUUACUUUAUAUUUGGCCGCCUUCCCAGAAGGAUUUGAAGCAAUUUAGCCGCAUAGAAGCCUUGGCUUAAUUGCCUCCAAUUAUAAAGAUGAUUAGAAUGAAAAAGGUUCUUGCUGUUACUCUUCAUUCAAGCUGGGGGCCUAACUGCUUACAACAGUUCAGUAAAUGACAAUAUCUUUAUAAGCAGAAUUGAAACAUUUAUCUUUCUACCUGACCCCUCCGGAAUUUAAAAACUUUCAGUGCAGAAACCUCAAAAUGUCUUGGGGACCUCGAGAAGAGAGGAAUUCACCCAAAUCGACAGGUGGUGGCUAAUACUGUAGCAGCGUUAGCUGACAUCAGUGAAUCUCACCCAAAUAGCACCUUACUUGAUCUGAACCCACAGAACAUUAAUAAGCUGCUGACAGCCCUGAAUGAGUGCACCAAAUGGGGCCAGGUUUUCAUCCUGGACUGCCUGUCUAAUUACAACCCUAAAGAUGACCGGGAGGCUCAGAGGUAAGAACCUUCCUUGCCUGGCUGAAGCUCAAGCUACUAUAACAUAAGUGCUCUUCACUUGUCUGGGAAAUUGUUCCCUCUGGACUUCACUAAAGUUUACCCUCAUAGAUCCUUUCCAUCAUUGAAAACACAACAUCUGUGAGCAGCUAACUCCCUGACUAUCUCAUGUCAACUCAGUGGUGGUGCUUUCAGCAUUAAGAGUCCUAAUGAAAUUUCUAGAGUUGUUACCUAAGGACUCUGACUACUACAAUAUGCUGCGCAGGCCUGAAUCUUGAAGCAGGAAAUCAAAGUCUUCUUUGUGAAAUACAAUGACCCUAUCUAUGUUAAACUAGAGAAGUUGGACAUAAAGAUUCGCUUGGCAUCCCAAGGCAACAUUGCUCAGGUUCUAGCAGAACUGAAGGAGUAUGCCACCCACGUAGAUGUUGACUUUGUUCAUCAAGCUGUGCGGGCCAUUGGAAGGUGCGCCAUCAAGGUGGAGGCAA